This 72-nucleotide transfer RNA is filed under the name Camelus bactrianus (Bactrian camel). It matches the Rfam family "tRNA". Rfam says of the family: Transfer RNA (tRNA) molecules are approximately 80 nucleotides in length. Their secondary structure includes four short double-helical elements and three loops (D, anti-codon, and T loops). Further hydrogen bonds mediate the characteristic L-shaped molecular structure. tRNAs have two regions of fundamental functional importance: the anti-codon, which is responsible for specific mRNA codon recognition, and the 3' end, to which the tRNAs corresponding amino acid is attached (by aminoacyl-tRNA synthetases). tRNAs cope with the degeneracy of the genetic code in two manners: having more than one tRNA (with a specific anti-codon) for a particular amino acid; and 'wobble' base-pairing, i.e. permitting non-standard base-pairing at the 3rd anti-codon position. Lineage: Eukaryota; Metazoa; Chordata; Mammalia; Artiodactyla; Camelidae. RNAcentral also lists the same sequence under 2 other names. The record is from Rfam by way of RNAcentral.
GAGGGUACAGCUCAGUGGUAGAGCACAUGCCUAGCACACACAAGGUCCUGAGUUCAAUUCCCAGUAUCUCCA